RNAcentral lists this ribosomal RNA (253 nucleotides) under uncultured bacterium. Its description in RNAcentral is "partial 16S ribosomal RNA". It matches the Rfam family "Bacterial small subunit ribosomal RNA", at positions 524 to 776 of the family's 1533-position model. The record is from RNAcentral.
GACGUAGGGCGCAAGCGUUGUCCGGAUUUAUUGGGCGUAAAGAGCUCGUAGGCGGCUUGCCACGUCUGCCGUGAAAACCAGCAGCUUAACUGUUGGCUUGCGGUUGAUACGGGUUGGCUGGAGUUCGGUAGGGGAGACUGGAAUUCCUGGUGUAGCGGUGAAAUGCGUAGAUAUCCGGAGGAACACCGGUGGCGAAGGCGGCUUCCUGGACCGACACUGACGCUGAGGCGCGAAAGCCAGGGGAGCAAACGGG